RNAcentral lists this ribosomal RNA (440 nucleotides) under uncultured bacterium. RNAcentral describes it as "bacterial SSU rRNA". It matches the Rfam family "Bacterial small subunit ribosomal RNA", at positions 338 to 794 of the family's 1533-position model. The record is from RNAcentral.
CCUACGGGAGGCAGCAGUUAGGAAUCUUGCGCAAUGGGCGAAAGCCUGACGCAGCAACGCCGCGUGAGGGAUGAAGGCUCUCGGGUUGUAAACCUCUUUCAGCAGGGACGAUUGUGACGGUACCUGCAGAAGAAGGACCGGCCAACUACGUGCCAGCAGCCGCGGUAAUACGUAGGGUCCGAGCGUUGUCCGGAUUUAUUGGGCGUAAAGAGCUCGUAGGCGGCUCAGUAAGUCAGAUGUGAAAACUCAGGGCUCAACCCGGAGACGCCAUCUGAUACUGCUGUGGCUUGAGUCUGGUAGGGGAUCACGGAAUUCCUGGUGUAGCGGUGAAAUGCGCAGAUAUCAGGAGGAACACCGAUGGCGAAGGCAGUGAUCUGGGCCAGUACUGACGCUGAGGAGCGAAAGCGUGGGUAGCAAACAGGAUUAGAUACCCUGGUAGU